RNAcentral lists this ribosomal RNA (320 nucleotides) under uncultured eukaryote. Its description in RNAcentral is "partial 18S ribosomal RNA". It matches the Rfam family "Eukaryotic small subunit ribosomal RNA", at positions 1470 to 1796 of the family's 1831-position model. The record is from RNAcentral.
CCCCUAGAUGUUCUGGGCCGCACGCGCGCUACACUGAACAGUUCAACAAGUCUUAACCUUGGCCGAUAGGUCUGGGUAAUCUUUGAACGCUGUUCGUGAUUGGGAUAGACCUUUGCAAUCAUGGGUCUUCAACGAGGAAUUCCUAGUAAACGCAAGUCAUCAGCUUGCAUUGAUUACGUCCCUGCCCUUUGUACACACCGCCCGUCGCACCUACCGAUUGAAUGGUCCGGUGAAAUCUCGGGACGGCGGCUUGGUCGCUUGCGUCCGACUGCUGAAACUUGAUUAAACCAUAUCAUUUAGAGGAAGGUGAAGUCGUAACA